UUCGGGUUGACGUUUUCUUUCUCUAUCGUAUGUCUGUUUUGUCGAUAGAGUUUUGAUAUGAAGUUAUGUUAAAUAGAGUUUGAUGUUUAAGAUACUUAGUUUCCUUUGAAAAUCAAGCAAUACACUCACGGUUAUAUGUCUUCAUACAUAUAAUCGAUUCGCCUUUUGCUGCGAUACUCUGCAUAUUAUUCCUCAUUAUGAAAAAUGAGCUAUACCCGUUUUGUUUUUGUUCGUGAG
RNAcentral lists this long non-coding RNA (237 nucleotides) under Salvia miltiorrhiza (redroot sage). RNAcentral describes it as "long non-coding RNA (SMIL_LNC009444)". The record is from RNAcentral. Lineage: Eukaryota; Viridiplantae; Streptophyta; Magnoliopsida; Lamiales; Lamiaceae.